RNAcentral lists this ribosomal RNA (253 nucleotides) under uncultured bacterium. RNAcentral's name for it is "partial 16S ribosomal RNA". It matches the Rfam family "Bacterial small subunit ribosomal RNA", at positions 524 to 776 of the family's 1533-position model. The record is from RNAcentral.
UACGUAGGUGGCAAGCGUUGUCCGGAUUUACUGGGCGUAAAGAGCGCGCAGGCGGUCGUAUAAGUCGAAUGUGAAAGCCCCCGGCUCAACUGGGGAGGGUCAUUCGAUACUGUUCGACUCGAAGGCAGGAGAGGGAAGUGGAAUUCCGGGUGUAGCGGUGAAAUGCGUAGAUAUCGGGAGGAACACCUGAGGCGAAGGCGGGCUACUGGGCCGAUACUGACGCUGAUGCGCGAAAGCCAGGGGAGCGAACGGG